CCGUCAAUGCGCUACAAAUUAAGUUAACAAAAUUGCCUAAAGAGUAACGGAGGCGUGCAAAGGUUGGCUAGCUACGGAUGGAAAUCGUAGCGAUAGUGUAAACGCAUAAGCCAGCUUGACUGUAAGGCCUACAAGCCGAGCAGGUGCGAAAGCAGGCGUUAGUGAUCCAGCCGGUUUCAGAACGAAACGGCCGGCGCUCAACGGAUAAAAGCUACCCCGGGGAUAACAGGCUGAUUGCGCCCAAUCGUCCACUGAGACGGCGCAGUUUGGCACCUCGAUGUCGGCUCAUCCUAGCCUGGGGGUGGUGAAGCUCACAAGGGUUUGGCUGUUCGCCAAUUAAAAGGGUACGCGAGCUGGGUUCAGAACGUCGCGAGACAGUAAAAUGUGCUGUCUAAGCAUUUAGAAAUUGGAACACUAAAUGCGUCAGUUGCUUGAACAACAACUGAUUAAAUUUGGCCAAAUGCUGGAAACUCUGAGUAUCAAGCGCUACUUGUGCUACGAUGGUCCUAAUGGACCUGGUUAGAACAAGUGAAAAUGCGUCUUGUGCAGACAAUCAGCAGGAAAGACUUCAGAAAAUUGAUCCGUGGUAUAUUUCGGGCUUCGUUGAUGGCGAGGGAACGUUUCAUGUUUCAUUUGCCAAGCGUCAAGAUUUGCCUCAGCACUGGGCGAUCAUACCCGAAUUUCACGUCUCCCAACACCAAGACCGAGCUUCGGUUUUGGACGAAAUACAAAAGUAUUUCGACUGCGGGACGAUACGUGACAACCACCGCGGACGCAGCAACGAUGUAACGAGAGUUCUCGUUGUUCGCAAUCGUCGAGACUUACUCGACAAAAUAGUUCCCUUCUUUCAGCGUUAUCCGCUCCGCUCCCAAAAGCGAGAUGAUUUUCGGACUUUUGCCGAGAUAGUCACCGCCAUGGAGCGAGGCGACCACCGCACGCCCGAAGGUUUUCGCUCGAUAGCGACGAAAGCGUUUCAAAUGAACGGUGGCGGAAGAUAUCGCAAACGAAAGAUCGAAGAACUUUUCUGAAGAAUCCUCAGAGACUGUACGCCAGAGUCCGCCGGAAGGUGGAUAAGAUACAGUCCGGACUGCAUGGCGACAUGCAGACUUCACAGAAAUGAUGAAGCGCCCCGCACUUUGUUGCUCACAAUCAAUCUCGAGCAGCAAAUGCACUUUGAGCUAGUUAAUGGUCAGAGUGCGGGGUUUGCAAAGUAACAGAUCGUCGGUCCUAAUCUGCUGUAAGCGUUGAAGAUUGAGAGGAGCGGCUCCUAGUAUGAGAAGACCGGAGCGGACGAACCUCUGGUGUAUCGGCUGUCCUGCCAAGGGCACUGUCGAGUAGCUACGUUCGGAACUGAUAACCGCUGAAAGCAUAUAAGCGGGAAGCAGGCCUCAAGAUUAAUCUUCGUUAUAGACCCCCGGAAGACUACCGGGUUGAUAGGCGCUAGGUGUAAGCACAGUAAUGUGUUCAGCCAAGGCGUACUAAUCGGUCGAGAAUUACUAACUC
This 1503-nucleotide ribosomal RNA is filed under the name bacterium. RNAcentral describes it as "partial 23S ribosomal RNA". It matches the Rfam family "Bacterial large subunit ribosomal RNA", at positions 2248 to 2915 of the family's 2925-position model. The record is from RNAcentral.